Molecule: ribosomal RNA, 514 nt
Filed under: uncultured bacterium
Lineage: Bacteria
Description: bacterial SSU rRNA
Rfam family: Bacterial small subunit ribosomal RNA
Source: RNAcentral
AACUUUCCAGAGAUGGAUUGGUGCCUUCGGGAACUCUGAGACAGGUGCUGCAUGGCUGUCGUCAGCUCGUGUUGUGAAAUGUUGGGUUAAGUCCGCAACGAGCGCAACCCUUAUCCUUUGUUGCCAGCGAUUCGGUCGGGAACUCAAAGGAGACUGCCGGUGAUAAACCGGAGGAAGGUGGGGAUGACGUCAAGUCAUCAUGGCCCUUACGAGUAGGGCUACACACGUGCUACAAUGGCGCAUACAAAGAGAAGCGACCUCGCGAGAGCAAGCGGACCUCACAAAGUGCGUCGUAGUCCGGAUCGGAGUCUGCAACUCGACUCCGUGAAGUCGGAAUCGCUAGUAAUCGUGGAUCAGAAUGCCACGGUGAAUACGUUCCCGGGCCUUGUACACACCGCCCGUCACACCAUGGGAGUGGGUUGCAAAAGAAGUAGGUAGCUUAACCUUCGGGAGGGCGCUUACCACUUUGUGAUUCAUGACUGGGGUGAAGUCGUAACAAGGUAAGCGUACGUGU